GGCUUCAUGGUUGAGUGGUAAAGACACUUGCCUCUCACCUGGAGUCCCAGGUUUGAUUCCUGGUUGAGGAGCUA
Molecule: non-coding RNA, 74 nt
Organism: Rhamnusium bicolor
Lineage: Eukaryota; Metazoa; Arthropoda; Insecta; Coleoptera; Cerambycidae
Source: the annotation of a GenBank genome assembly